RNAcentral lists this ribosomal RNA (265 nucleotides) under uncultured Cafeteria. RNAcentral's name for it is "sp. partial Bacterial small subunit ribosomal RNA". It matches the Rfam family "Bacterial small subunit ribosomal RNA", at positions 11 to 270 of the family's 1533-position model. The record is from RNAcentral. Lineage: Eukaryota; Bigyra; Bicosoecida; Cafeteriaceae.
GUUUGAUCCUGGCUCAGGACGAACGCUGGCGGCGGGCUUAACACAUGCAAGUCGAAGGAGAAGGGGAGUGCUUGCACUUCCUGGAGACUGGCGGACGGGUGAGUAACGCGUAGCUAACCUGCCUUUAACUGGGGGAUAACAUUCCGAAAGGGGUGCUAAUACCGCAUAAAGCAACUGGAUCGCAUGAUCCUGGUUGUUAAAAAUUUCGAUUGGUUAAAGAGGGGGCUGCGUGCUAUUAGUUAGUUGGUGAGGUAACGGCUCACCA